CGACCGGCGCACGGGUGCGUAACGCGUAUGUAACCUACCUAUAACAGGGGCAUAACACUGAGAAAUUGGUACUAAUUCCCCAUAAUAUUCGGAGAGGCAUCUCUCCGGGUUGAAAACUCCGGUGGUUAUAGAUGGACAUGCGUUGUAUUAGCUAGUUGGUGAGGUAACGGCUCACCAAGGCAACGAUACAUAGGGGGACUGAGAGGUUAACCCCCCCACACUGGUACUGAGACACGGACCAGACUCCUACGGGAGGCAGCAUG
Molecule: ribosomal RNA, 263 nt
Filed under: uncultured bacterium
Lineage: Bacteria
Description: partial 16S ribosomal RNA
Rfam family: Bacterial small subunit ribosomal RNA
Source: RNAcentral